UAUGUAUUGUGCCAGCAGCCGCGGUAAUACGUAGGUGGCAAGCGUUGUCCGGAAUUAUUGGGCGUAAAGCGCGCGCAGGCGGCUUCCCAAGUCCCUCUUAAAAGUGCGGGGCUUAACCCCGUGAUGGGAAGGAAACUGGGAAGCUGGAGUAUCGGAGAGGAAAGUGGAAUUCCUAGUGUAGCGGUGAAAUGCGUAGAGAUUAGGAAGAACACCGGUGGCGAAGGCGACUUUCUGGACGAAAACUGACGCUGAGGCGCGAAAGCGUGGGGAGCAAACAGG
RNAcentral lists this ribosomal RNA (279 nucleotides) under Dialister invisus DSM 15470. RNAcentral's name for it is "partial 16S ribosomal RNA". It matches the Rfam family "Bacterial small subunit ribosomal RNA", at positions 498 to 776 of the family's 1533-position model. The record is from RNAcentral. Lineage: Bacteria; Bacillati; Bacillota; Negativicutes; Veillonellales; Veillonellaceae.